AACGCUAGCUACAGGCUUAACACAUGCAAGUCGAGGGACAGCAUGAUUGAAGCUUGCUUCAAUUGAUGGCGACCGGCGCACGGGUGAGUAACACGUAUCCAACCUUCCGUACACUCAGGGAUAGCCUUUCGAAAGAAAGAUUAAUACCUGAUGGUAUCUUAAGCACACAUGUAAUUAAGAUUAAAGAUUUAUCGGUGUACGAUGGGGAUGCGUUCCAUUAGGUAGUAGGCGGGGUAACGGCCCACCUAGUCGACGAUGGAUAGGGGUUCUGAGAGGAAGGUCCCCCACAUUGGAACUGAGACACGGUCCAAACUCCUACGGGAGGCAGCAGUGAGGAAUAUUGGUCAAUGGGCGCGAGCCUGAACCAGCCAAGUAGCGUGAAGGAUGAAGGUCCUACGGAUUGUAAACUUCUUUUAUAAGGGAAUAAAGUCACCCACGUGUGGGUGUUUGUAUGUACCUUAUGAAUAAGCAUCGGCUAACUCCGUGCCAGCAGCCGCGGUAAUACGGAGGAUGCGAGCGUUAUCCGGAUUUAUUGGGUUUAAAGGGAGCGUAGACGGGUCGUUAAGUCAGCUGUGAAAGUUUGAGGCUCAACCUUAAAAUUGCAGUUGAUACUGGCGUCCUUGAGUACGGUUGAGGCAGGCGGAAUUCGUGGUGUAGCGGUGAAAUGCUUAGAUAUCACGAAGAACUCCGAUUG
Molecule: ribosomal RNA, 694 nt
Filed under: uncultured bacterium
Lineage: Bacteria
Description: bacterial SSU rRNA
Rfam family: Bacterial small subunit ribosomal RNA
Source: RNAcentral